This is a long non-coding RNA of Acipenser ruthenus (sterlet), 2434 nucleotides long. RefSeq lists it as uncharacterized. The record is from RefSeq and is a predicted model, not a curated record. The transcript is spliced from 3 exons. NCBI's taxonomy places the organism in Eukaryota, Metazoa, Chordata, Actinopteri, Acipenseriformes, Acipenseridae.
AUUGUUAUCAGAACUAUGUAUUGAAUUUCAAACAGAUUUUGGUUAAACCCUGUACCUUGAAACUGACAACAGGACCAUGUAAAGUUCAGACAGACAUCAAAUCUGAGGAAUGUAUAUUUAAUGAGAGUAAUACUGCCAUCUAGUGGACGAUGGAGAUGGUUCAGUUUGUAAUUAAAAUACAUUGGCUUCACUGGUAAGCUAUGUUAACUGUUAUACAAAUGAUUUAUACUUGUGAACUCUUAAAUGUACAAAAAUAGAAAAUGUAAGGUAUUAAAAGCCUUAAAUAAAUCACUUAAAAUUAAGUAAUUUAUCAUUUUAGGAAAUGGAUUAAAAUCGAAUCAAUUCAUUAGAAUGAUAAUUAUGGGACUUGUGUGAUUUAUUUUGGUACUGCAUUGUGUAAAAUCACAUCAGGACAUAGAAAUGUGAUUAUUAAGUGAAAAUGAAUAACUUAGGAAAAAUUAUUUCACAAAAGAGUAUUUUUAACUGAAUGCAUUUUCUGUGAUUUAUGAUCUUUUGUUCAAAUGAAAAUGGGGAGGUGUCUUUUUGAUGAAGUUAUGAUGUCAUCUGUUUACAUUCAAAGCAGCCAAUAAAAUUACCUGAUGGAGAGUUUACCAAUGGAAUGACUAGCAGUAAGGAAAUAUAAAACACAACUGCUGUAGCCUGUAACAAAAAGAGGAAACCCCUUGGUGUGUGGUUCUGUUGCAUUGUGGGACAUGGAGUCCUGAAGAAAGAGCGGUCUUGUUUUAGAGGACUACAAACUGAAGAUCAGGUUUCUAAACGGAAUCACUUUUUAACCACGAGGAGAAAGCUGUAUACAUUGAUUCUUCAUUGCGAGACUGUUUCAACUGUCUUCACAUAUAAGGACUGUGGGACAUGGUUUGGUGUGAUGAUAGGAACCAUUGUAUUUGGCAGCUUCUCAGAUAAGUAAUUUUUAUAUUGUACUGCUUCUUUUUAAUGUAAAACAUUCCUCUACCACCCUUGAAAAUGUAUGUAUAUUACUGUCAUUUUGAGUUUUUUAUUCAUUUUGUCACCUGACACUUAAUAAAAAAAAAACACCUCUCACCAAUGACAUACACGUUUUGUCAAAAUAUUUACUUUUUUUUUUUUUACUUUUUGCUUGUUUACAUGUAAUUACCUGUAAGGGUGAUCAAAAAGAUUUGAGCUUGACUAGAGUGUGUUUGGGAAUUGUAAACUUGGUUGCUUUUCUGCAAAGGAGAAUCCGCCCCUAACCAAAAUGUCAUCAGCAAGCGCAUAAAAGCUCUGUGUGUUAUUCUUUCAUGUCACUUCUUUUUGUUUCAGCUGCUCAGUCAAGCGCUGGGAGGCCAAAACGGGAGUUGACCGCUUAGAGUCUGGAGGAAGGGCUGCCCUCAGCCACGGAUUCCCUGAGGUUUCCCCUAAAAAAUUAAAAAUGGUCGCGGUGAGCCGGAGCCUAACCCGGCAUACACUGGGCGCAAGGCGAGAGUACACCCUGGACGGGACGCCAGUCCAUCGCAGGGCACCACACACACACACACACACAGAGGGCAAUUUAGAGUGACCAAUCAACCGGGACAGCCUGUCUUUGGACUGUGGGAGGAAACCGGAGUACCCGGAGAAAACCCACACGAACACAGGGAGAACAUGCAAACUCCACACAGACAGUACCCUAGGAUGGAUUCAAACCUAGGACCCUGGUGCUGUGAGGCAGCAGCGCAAACCACUACGCCACCGUGCCCCCCUAAAGCUCUAUUUACUUGUUUUAAAUAUUCAUUGGAUUUCCUUUUGCUAUAGGGUUUCAAUUGCCUGAAUGUUGCUGGCCACAGUAAGGUCAACUGGCUAUUUCUGGAAAAUAGUGCCCACUAGUGGUUACUUGUGAUAGUGAGCAGAGUUUCUGAUCCUGACACUCCGCAUUGAUCACUUUCAUCCCUUAAAAUGAUUAGAAUAUUUAUAAAAUCAUGUAUGUAAGCUAUGCAGAACAUAAAUAAGACAUUUUGUCCUGUGGGCCUGUAGUGCUACUGACAGGCUCUGCCAUUACGUUUUUUUUUUUUUUUGUCCAAGAUAUUUAUAAUGUGCAUAUUAUAGAAUAAAGAUGGAUACAUAGGAUAAAUCUUGUACAGUACAGUAGUUCUCCAGAUAUUGCUGUCAGUAGCUCAGCCAAUUAUCUGUAUCAUCUAGGUAGAUUUAAAAUACAACAAAUGUCUGUGUUUGCUAGUAAUGUAAAACAACUAUAUAUAUAUAUAUAUAUAUAUAUAUAUAUAUAUAUAUAUAUAUAUAUAUAUAUAUAAAAUAUAUAAAAAUUUACUUCUCAUAAAAUGAGCAUAAUGCUGGUCGUUCAGUCUCUCUCAAGCAAGACUGGAAUGUAGUCAAUGUUACAAAAUGACCAUGCAAGUCUGACAAGUUGAUCAGACUCAUCUGGAUUACUAGUUAACUAAUAAAGACACUUUGGUUGAUUUAG